GACGAACGCUGGCGGCGCGCCUAACACAUGCAAGUCGAACGAGCGAGAGAGAGCUUGCUUUCUCGAGCGAGUGGCGAACGGGUGAGUAACGCGUGAGGAACCUGCCUCAAAGAGGGGGACAACAGUUGGAAACGACUGCUAAUACCGCAUAAGCCCACGGCUCGGCAUCGAGCAGGGGGAAAAGGAGCAAUCCGCUUUGAGAUGGCCUCGCGUCCGAUUAGCUAGUUGGUGAGGUAACGGCCCACCAAGGCGACGAUCGGUAGCCGGACUGAGAGGUUGAACGGCCACAUUGGGACUGAGACACGGCCCAGACUCCUACGGGAGGCAGCAGUGGGGAAUAUUGCACAAUGGGGGAAACCCUGAUGCAGCGACGCCGCGUGGAGGAAGAAGGUCUUCGGAUUGUAAACUCCUGUUGUUGGGGAAGAUAAUGACGAUACCCAACAAGGAAGUGACGGCUAACUACGUG
Molecule: ribosomal RNA, 466 nt
Filed under: uncultured bacterium
Lineage: Bacteria
Description: partial 16S ribosomal RNA
Rfam family: Bacterial small subunit ribosomal RNA
Source: RNAcentral